Molecule: ribosomal RNA, 169 nt
Filed under: uncultured rumen bacterium
Lineage: Bacteria
Description: partial 16S ribosomal RNA
Rfam family: Bacterial small subunit ribosomal RNA
Source: RNAcentral
CCUACGGGAGGCAGCAGUGGGGAAUAUUGCACAAUGGGCGAAAGCCUGAUGCAGCGAUGCCGCGUGAGCGAAGAAGUAUUUCGGUAUGUAAAGCUCUAUCAGCAGGGAAGAUAAUGACGGUACCUGACUAAGAAGCACCGGCUAAAUACGUGCCAGCAGCCGCGGUAAU